RNAcentral lists this ribosomal RNA (440 nucleotides) under uncultured bacterium. RNAcentral describes it as "partial 16S ribosomal RNA". It matches the Rfam family "Bacterial small subunit ribosomal RNA", at positions 338 to 795 of the family's 1533-position model. The record is from RNAcentral.
CCUACGGGCGGCAGCAGUAGGGAAUAUUGCUCAAUGGGGGAAACCCUGAAGCAGCAACGCCGCGUGGAGGAUGAAGGUUUUCGGAUUGUAAACUCCUUUUGUUAGAGAAGAUAAUGACGGUAUCUAACGAAUAAGCACCGGCUAACUCCGUGCCAGCAGCCGCGGUAAUACGGAGGGUGCAAGCGUUACUCGGAAUCACUGGGCGUAAAGAGGGCGUAGGCGGGAUAGCAAGUCAGAUGUGAAAUCCUAUGGCUUAACCAUAGAACUGCAUUUGAAACUGUUAUUCUAGAGUAUGGGAGAGGUAGGUGGAAUUCUUGGUGUAGGGGUAAAAUCCGUAGAGAGCAAGAGGAAUACUCAUUGCGAAGGCGACCUGCUAGAACAUAACUGACGCUGAUGCGCGAAAGCGUGGGGAGCAAACAGGAUCAGAUACCCGAGUAGUC